GGAUGUGAGGGCGAGCUGUCUGGCUGGGCGGGUGUGCCCUUCCUCCCUCACUGCUCCAUGUGCGUCCCUCCAGAAGCCGUAUCGAUGGAGGAGGACGACCUUCCCCGAAUCAAGGAGGACCGAUCUUCAGUCAAGGGUAUACUAGUAGCUGCGCUCCCCUGCUAGAACCUCCAUACAAGCUCUCAAGACCUAUCUCAGAAGGCCAAAACAAAAUCAAACAACUUCUACAUCAGAUCCCACUACUUC
RNAcentral lists this small nuclear RNA (246 nucleotides) under Jaculus jaculus (lesser Egyptian jerboa). Its description in RNAcentral is "7SK RNA (ENSJJAG00000001656.1)". It matches the Rfam family "7SK RNA". From Rfam's summary of the family: 7SK was discovered as an abundant small nuclear RNA in the mid-70s but a possible function has only recently been suggested. Two independent studies have found that 7SK RNA binds the CDK9/cyclin T complex (known as elongation factor P-TEFb). Lineage: Eukaryota; Metazoa; Chordata; Mammalia; Rodentia; Dipodidae. The record is from Rfam by way of RNAcentral.